This 2152-nucleotide ribosomal RNA is filed under the name human oral metagenome. RNAcentral's name for it is "bacterial LSU rRNA". It matches the Rfam family "Bacterial large subunit ribosomal RNA", at positions 1 to 1977 of the family's 2925-position model. The record is from RNAcentral.
AAAGGUACUCAAGGGCACUGUAGUGGAUGCCUAGACGUAUAUUACCGAUGAAGGACGUGGAAGACUGCGAUAAGCUUCGGGUAGCUGCCAACAAGCUAUGAUCCGGAGAUUUCCGAAUGGGAAAACCUAGCAUGAGGAAAGUCAUGUUGUCCUGCGCUGAAUACAUAGGCGUAGUGAACGGGAACCAUCUGAACUGAAACAUCUUAGUAGGAUGAGGAAAAGAAAGUAAAUAACGAUUCUCGGAGUAGUGGCGAGCGAAACGGGAAGAGCCCAAACCUUAUAAGUUUUUGCCUGUUCGCAGGCAAAUAAGCUGAUAGGCGAAUGCUUACAAGGGGUUGUGAUAUUACACACGACCAAGCCAGAGAACUUGAAUUCGUUCGAGGUAUCUGGUUUGCGACUACUGGCUAUCAACGGUAGGUGAGGUAAGAAAACAGCGUGGUUAGCAGAAUAGUUUGAAUGGCUAGCCAAAGAACGUGAAAGCCGUGUACGCAAAAACGACGCUGACCUUAUAUGUGUUUUAUCGAGUAGGACGGGGCACGAGAAACCCUGUUUGAAUCUGGCUGGACCACCAGCCAAGGCUAAAUAUAAUAUACGAUCGAUAGUGAACUAGUACAGCGAUGGAAAGGUGAAAAGAACCCCGGAAGGGGAGUGAAAUAGAUUCUGAAACUCAGUGCCUACAAGGAGUCGGAGCCCAGCUUGCUGGGUGACGGCGUGCUUUUUGUAGAACGAUCCAGCGAGUUAAUUUUUAGUGCAAGGUUAAGUCAGUUGACGGAGCCACAGUGAAAGCGAGCCUGAAUAGGGCGACAAGUACUAAGGAUUAGACCCGAAACCGGGUGACCUAACCAUGAGCAGGUUGAAGCCACUGUAACAGGUGGUGGAGGACCGAACCAGGAUACGCAGCAAAGUGUUUGGAUGACUUGUGGUUAGCGGUGAAAUGCCAAUCGAACUCGGAGAUAGCUGGUUCUCCUCGAAACAGUUUUAGGACUGGCGUCAUGUGGUAGCAGUCGGGGGUAGAGCUCUGUAAAGGACUGGGGGGAGCAAUCCUACCCACCCUUAACAAACUACGAAUACCGGCUGUGGAAUCAUGGCAGUUAGAACGGCGGAGCUAAGUUCGUCGCUCAAAAGGGAAACAGCCCAGACCAUCGUCUAAGGUCCCUAAAUUUACGUUAAGUGGGAAACAAGGUGAGAUUUCUUAAACAGCUAGGAUGUUGGCUUAGAAGCAGCCAUUCAUUUAAAGAGUGCGUAACAGCUCACUAGUCAAGAGAUCUUGCGUGGAAAAUGUAACGGGGCUAAACGUAAUACCGAAGACAUGGGUCUAUGCAUUAGCAUGGGCGGUAGAGGAGCGUUCCUAUCGGCAGUGAAGCAGCAUUGUAAAGUGCUGUGGAGCGGUAGGAAGUGAGAAUGCUGGAAUGAGUAACCAUAAGAGAGGUGAGAAUCCUCUCGGCCGUAAGAGCAAGGUUUCCUGAGCUAUGGUAAUCAUCUCAGGGUUAGUCGGGCCUAAGCCGAGGCGCAUAGCGUAGGCGAUGGACAUCAGGUUGAUAUUCCUGAACCGGCGUAGUUUGUACACUGUUCACGGAGAGAUAUUCGGAGCGGAUUCAUGGUUUAUCCGUCCAACCGAGCGGGAACGCAAAGGGAGUGAAAGUUACUCUACGGAGUGACGAUUCUGAAAAAGGCUCUGGCUAGAAAAGCAGGUGUACGCGUGGCUAUGUCCGCCCGUACCGCAAACCAACACAGGUGCUCGAGUCGAGUAGACUCAGGCUUACGAGAGAACCUUCGCUAAGGAACUCGGCAAUACAGCGACCGUAACUUCGGAAUAAGGUCUGCCCCCACUUCGGUGGAUAUGUUGUCGGUUUCAAAGCUAGCAGGUGUGGUUGAAGAGUAUCUUUAAUACAUCAAUUCUUCUUGAGAUAGAACCAAUAGCUUUUGGAACUGAAGCUCAACGCAUCUAACGAUGUGGGGGCCGCAGCAAAAGAGCCCACGGAACUGUUUAUCAAAAACACAGCUCUCUGCUAACACGAAAGUGGAUGUAUAGGGGGUGACUCCUGCCCGGUGCUGGAAGGUUAAGGGGAACGCUUUACGGUGUGAACUGAAGCCCCAGUGAACGGCGGCGGUAACUAUAACCGUCCUAAGGUAGCGAAAUUCCUUGUCAGGU